CAUUUGCCUUUUGUGAUACGCUUUCAAAGAGUCAGGUUGUUUGGGAAUGCAGCCUAAAUUGGGUGGUAAAUCUCACCUAAAGCUAAAUAUUGGCGAGAAACCGAUAGCGAACAAGUACCGUGAGGGAAAGAUGAAAAGAACUUUGAAAAGAGAGUUAAACAGUAUGUGAAAUUGUUAAAAGGGAACCGUUUGGAGCCAGACUGGCUUGUCUGUAAUCAAUCUAGGCUUCGGCCUGGAUGCACUUGCAGGCUAUGCCUGCCAACGACAAUUUGACUUGAGGGAAAAAACUAAGGGAAAUGUGGCCCACUUGUGGGUGUUAUAGUCCCUUAGAAAAUACCUUGGGUUGGAUUGAGGAACGCAGCGAAUGCUUUUUGGCGAGUUUUCCAGGAAGGUUUUCUGAGGUACUACGGUAUCAAGGUGAUCU
This 424-nucleotide ribosomal RNA is filed under the name Rhizopus arrhizus. RNAcentral's name for it is "eukaryotic LSU rRNA". It matches the Rfam family "Eukaryotic large subunit ribosomal RNA", at positions 234 to 619 of the family's 3401-position model. The record is from RNAcentral. Lineage: Eukaryota; Fungi; Mucoromycota; Mucoromycetes; Mucorales; Rhizopodaceae.